UCUUCCCGCCUCGGCCUCCCAGAGUGCUGAGAUUACAGACGUGAACCCAUGCCUGGCCAGGAAUUUUGUUUUUUAGGAAGGCUUUCUACUAAUGGAAUUCCUGGCCUUGAGAGGAUGUUACUUUAGAAGGAAAGGAUUUUUUUGUUAUUAAAAGCUGGACCUACCAUGAAAGACUUCUGAAUCCAGGAAGAGAAACUGACUGGGCAACAUGUUAUUCAGAUGGGGUCUUCUUAUGUUGCCCAGGUUGGUCUCAAAUU
Molecule: long non-coding RNA, 257 nt
Filed under: Homo sapiens (human)
Lineage: Eukaryota; Metazoa; Chordata; Mammalia; Primates; Hominidae
Description: HSALNT0387883
Source: RNAcentral